UACGUAGGUGGCAAGCGUUGUCCGGAAUUAUUGGGCGUAAAGCGCGCGCAGGCGGUCCUUUAAGUCUGAUGUGAAAGCCCACGGCUCAACCGUGGAGGGUCAUUGGAAACUGGGGGACUUGAGUGCAGGAGAGAAAAGUGGAAUUCCACGUGUAGCGGUGAAAUGCGUAGAGAUGUGGAGGAACAGCAGGGGCGAAGGCGACGUGUUGGCCUGUAACUGACGCUGAGGCGCGAAAGCGUGGGGAGCAAACAGG
RNAcentral lists this ribosomal RNA (253 nucleotides) under uncultured bacterium. RNAcentral describes it as "partial 16S ribosomal RNA". It matches the Rfam family "Bacterial small subunit ribosomal RNA", at positions 524 to 776 of the family's 1533-position model. The record is from RNAcentral.